This 497-nucleotide ribosomal RNA is filed under the name uncultured bacterium. Its description in RNAcentral is "partial 16S ribosomal RNA". It matches the Rfam family "Bacterial small subunit ribosomal RNA", at positions 28 to 507 of the family's 1533-position model. The record is from RNAcentral.
GAUGAACGCUGGCGGCGUGCCUAAUACAUGCAAGUCGAGCGAACGGACGAGAAGCUUGCGUCUCUGAUGUUAGCGGCGGACGGGUGAGUAACACGUGGAUACCCUACCUAUAAGACUGGGAUAACUUCGGGAAACCGGAGCUAAUCCCGGAGAAUCUUUUGAACCGCAGGGUGCGAAAGUAAAAGACGGUCUUGCUGUCACGUAUAGAUGGAUCCGAGCUGGAUUAGCUGGUUGUGAAGGUAACGGCUUACGAAGGCAAGGAUGCAUGGCCGACCUGUGGGGGUGGUCGGCCACACUGGAGCUUGACCACCGUCCAGGGUCCUACGGUAGGCCGCAGUAGGGAAUCUUCCGCAGCGGGCGAAAGCCUUACGGAGCAGGGCCGCGUGAGUGGUGACGGUCUUCGGAUCGUAAAACUCUGUUAUUAGGGAAAAACAGAUUUGUAAGUAGCUGUGCACAUAUUGACGGUACCUAGUCAGAAAGCCCCGGCUAACUACGUG